UUGUUUUUUUUUUUAUUUGUGCCACAGUGGAUAGCGUUUAUCAUGGCGAUGGAGGUUGGGAACGAAGAUUCGCGAUUGCUCCUUUGACAUGUCAAUGGUAUAUAAGCCGCUUGCUAAUUUUUUGUGUCAACAUAUCGCGUGCUCCAUCUGACUGUGCUUGGUGCCUUGUCUUAAAUAAAACUCAGCAAAACCGAAAAAGCUUGUGUCCAGCCGCACAUCCUUAUCGGUAAAAAAAAAAA
Long non-coding RNA from Rhagoletis zephyria (snowberry fruit fly), 239 nucleotides. RefSeq lists it as uncharacterized. NCBI's taxonomy places the organism in Eukaryota, Metazoa, Arthropoda, Insecta, Diptera, Tephritidae. The record is from RefSeq and is a predicted model, not a curated record.